AAAUUAUUUUCUCUAUUUUUUUUCUCUUCAAAUUCUAUAAAUGAAUUAUAGGCUUGUACCGAAUUUGAUUUUGAUCACAAUUAUGCUUAAUCUAUUUGAUCAAAUGCUUACAUGAAAAUUAUGAGUAAGUCUUUUUUUUUAUCAUUAUGGCUCUUCAUAUAUCUUUCUAGUUAUGAAACUGGUAAUUAAUUUUGUAUUUAUGUAUUUGUAGUUUUUGUUAUUUAUUUAUUUAUUUAUCUAAUAUUAUCUUUAUUAUUUAUAUUUUUGAAAUAAAUUAGAGAGUGAUCUGAAUUUUUAAGAAAACCACAGAAAUGUAAUAUUUGGAAGGUCUCUAAUUUGCGUCAAAAUUGUUUGGGGUUUGUUUAGAUCUUAGGACAUGGGUUUUUUAUUUUAUUUUCAUGGAGCUUGGUUGUUUAACAAUGGAGGUUGGGCUCACUUGGCCCAGUCCAAGGAACUUGUACUUCUAAUUUUCAUGGAGCUUUGUUGUUUUUAUAUAUGGAGUUGGGGUUUACUUGGUAUAGUCCAAGGAUCUAGAAAAGUUGCCUGAGGCUGAUAGUUUGGACAAUCACAUUUCAUUUCAGUGACAGCAAUGGCUUAGUUUUUUUAUACAAAGCUGAGAUGAGUCACCUUAUUAAGUCAAUAAACCAUGGAUCAAAUAUGGUAUUCUGUUUUCUGUACAAUAUUUGGUGGACUUUAUGGUAUUUUGCAUCACCUUGGUGAGAUCCGGACGUUAGGAAUGUUGAGAAGUAGAUUCCACACCUUGCCAUCAGCAUUUGAUGUUUGUCUGAUUC
This is a long non-coding RNA of Humulus lupulus (European hop), 791 nucleotides long. RefSeq lists it as uncharacterized. The record is from RefSeq and is a predicted model, not a curated record. The transcript has 4 exons. Lineage: Eukaryota; Viridiplantae; Streptophyta; Magnoliopsida; Rosales; Cannabaceae.